RNAcentral lists this ribosomal RNA (570 nucleotides) under Trichoderma asperellum. RNAcentral's name for it is "eukaryotic LSU rRNA". The stretch from base 179 to 332 matches the Rfam family "5.8S ribosomal RNA". The record is from RNAcentral. Lineage: Eukaryota; Fungi; Ascomycota; Sordariomycetes; Hypocreales; Hypocreaceae.
UACAACUUUCAAACCUCAAUGUGAACGUUACCAAACUGUUGCCUCGGCGGGGUCACGCCCCGGGUGCGUCGCAGCCCCGGAACCAGGCGCCCGCCGGAGGAACCAACCAAACUCUUUCUGUAGUCCCCUCGCGGACGUAUUUCUUUACAGCUCUGAGCAAAAAUUCAAAAUGAAUCAAAACUUUCAACAACGGAUCUCUUGGUUCUGGCAUCGAUGAAGAACGCAGCGAAAUGCGAUAAGUAAUGUGAAUUGCAGAAUUCAGUGAAUCAUCGAAUCUUUGAACGCACAUUGCGCCCGCCAGUAUUCUGGCGGGCAUGCCUGUCCGAGCGUCAUUUCAACCCUCGAACCCCUCCGGGGGAUCGGCGUUGGGGAUCGGGACCCCUCACACGGGUGCCGGCCCCUAAAUACAGUGGCGGUCUCGCCGCAGCCUCUCCUGCGCAGUAGUUUGCACAACUCGCACCGGGAGCGCGGCGCGUCCACGUCCGUAAAACACCCAACUUUCUGAAAUGUUGACCUCGGAUCAGGUAGGAAUACCCGCUGAACUUAAGCAUAUCUAAAGGGGGGAAGGAA